GAUGUAGAGAGUGUUACUGUCAUUAGCAUAUCCAGUUAUAUCUGAGUUUUGAAACAAUACUAAAAUACAUUCUACCAAGGUGGACGAGUUACUUCCCGCUCUACUGGGUAGAAGUAAACAAUCACAACAACUGCUGCCUCAGAUUCAAGCACAUGACUUGCUUGUCAUGGAUUUCUUCAUGUUGUAUGUCUAAUGGAUUAAGUCCCCAAAAUUGUGUUAUACUCAAUUAACGGCUCAUGGUUUAUAUAAUAAAGUACCUACAAAAAGGACCAUGGAAAGUUAUUGAUAACCAAUUUGAGAAUCAACACUGAACGGGGCUAAAAUCAACAUAUACCUACAGAGCCACGUACUGUCCACAACAAGGACAGAGAGGUUGAUGCCCUUCGAUGAAGAUCUGGCUUAAGGCAGAGUAGUUGGCUUCACCUCGGGGAUGGAGAGGGGCAUAUCUCAACAAAGAAUGCACCCAAGUGCACUAACUCAAAAUGGUUUGAAGGAUGAGAUCCCACAACUUAUGUGCCUGCUGAACCCAGAGUGCUGCCUGGCCACUAAAUCUUCUUUGUGCCUUCACUGGGUCUGGAUGUGCUGCACAGACUUC
Long non-coding RNA from Macrobrachium nipponense, 595 nucleotides. RefSeq lists it as uncharacterized. The transcript has 3 exons. The record is from RefSeq and is a predicted model, not a curated record. Lineage: Eukaryota; Metazoa; Arthropoda; Malacostraca; Decapoda; Palaemonidae.